GAUGAACGCUGGCGGCGUGCCUAAUACAUGCAAGUCGAGCGAACGGACGAGAAGCUUGCUUCUCUGAUGUUAGCGGCGGACGGGUGAGUAACACGUGGAUAACCUACCUAUAAGACUGGGAUAACUUCGGGAAACCGGAGCUAAUACCGGAUGAUAUUUUGAACCGCAUGGUUCAAAAGUGAAAGACGGUCUUGCUGUCACUUAUAGAUGGAUCCGCGCUGCAUUAGCUAGUUGGUAAGGUAACGGCUUACCAAGGCAACGAUGCAUAGCCGACCUGAGAGGGUGAUCGGCCACACUGGAACUGAGCCACGGUCCAGACUCCUACGGGAGGCAGCAGUAGGGAAUCUUCCGCAAUGGGCGAAAGCCUGACGGAGCAACGCCGCGUGAGUGAUGCAGGUCUUCGGAUCGUAAAACUCUGUUAUUAGGGAAGAACAUAUGUGUAAGUAACUGUGCACAUCUUGACGGUACCUAAUCAGAAAGCCACGGCUAACUACGUG
This 497-nucleotide ribosomal RNA is filed under the name uncultured bacterium. RNAcentral describes it as "partial 16S ribosomal RNA". It matches the Rfam family "Bacterial small subunit ribosomal RNA", at positions 28 to 507 of the family's 1533-position model. The record is from RNAcentral.